This is a small nuclear RNA of Otolemur garnettii (small-eared galago), 107 nucleotides long. Lineage: Eukaryota; Metazoa; Chordata; Mammalia; Primates; Galagidae. The record is from Ensembl.
GUGCUUGCUUCAGUAGCACAUAUACUAAAACUGGAACGAUACAGAGAAGAUUAGCAGGGCCCCUGCACAAGGAUGACCUAAAAAUUCAUGAUGUGUCCCAUAUUUUA